GAGUUUUUAACUCUAGUGGCGGACGGGUGAGUAACACGUAAGAAUUUGCCUUUAGGAGGGGGAUAACAUCGUCAGAAAUGAUUCGAGAAAUUGAUGCUAAUACCCCAUAUGCUUUCGAGUGAAAUGGAGUUUUCCGCCUAAAGAGAAGCUUGCGGCUGAUUAGCUUGUUGGUGAGGUAAUGGCUUACCAAGGCGACGAUCAGUAUCUGGUUUGAGAGGAUGAUCAGACACACUGGAACUGAGACACGGUCCAGACUCCUACGGGAGGCAGCAGUGGGGAAUUUUCCGCAAUGGGCGAAAGCCUGACGGAGCAAUCUCGCGUGAGGGAUGACUGCCUAUGGGUUGUAAACCUCUUUUUUCAGGGAGGAAUAAAUGACGUUACCUGAAGAAU
This 390-nucleotide ribosomal RNA is filed under the name uncultured bacterium. Its description in RNAcentral is "bacterial SSU rRNA". It matches the Rfam family "Bacterial small subunit ribosomal RNA", at positions 74 to 487 of the family's 1533-position model. The record is from RNAcentral.